AGGGACCGCGGGCGGGCGCGGCGAUGCGGCGUGAGGGGAUCCCCCUGUGCCCGCCUGGUGCGCCCCGCGCCUCCGAGCACCCGCUGGCACUCCCUGCCCCCCAGCCGGCGUCCCGGAGCUGCGAAAUACCGCCUGACAGCAAAGAGAUUGUGAGUUUACAACAGCCCAGUAAAUAAGUGCUGAGAUUCCUGUUUCCACUGGAGCAUAAUUUCCAAACAGAAGAAGAGGACAUAACCAGAGGAACUCCAGAUGUGUAACGUUCCUUAUCCAGCAAAUCAGAUUAACAGGUCUGCUGUCUUAAAUCUUAGAUUUGAAAGAACACUCUAGAGCAUGAUGUCCUUCCUAUGACUAGAAUUGUACAAAGGAACAUGUCUGUAUGAAUUAAUAUACAGAACAAGGCCUUGGCAGGGAAAUCACUACAGCUCCUGAUAUCAAUGCAGACUAACAAUUAAACCCUAGGCUUUCGCAGAUCAACAGAGCAUCAAAAAAUCACUAAACAUGAUAGAAAGUUUUUUGAAAAAUCUGAAAAUAUUGAAAAAGCAUUCAAAGGGAAUGAUAUUGUCUGAAGAAGCUACUUGACCUGUUCAGUCACACAUCUGCCAUUAAAAUACCCUUACCAGCCAUUCUUUCCAUGCUGUGGAAAGCAGGAGGAGGCACAGUGACACGCUGUGCAGCUGCUGUGACGUGUGCCAAAGUUCAGAUGGAGCUAAGCGAGGCUUGGAAGCUAUCUUUAGCAUACAGAUGAGUGACACCAUCCAGAGCACGUGCUCUGUCUUUUUACCUGCAAGUCUGAUGUUAUCCCAUAAAACAAAAUACCUUGUAUCAACAAGCACUGUUUUGUUCUGCACUUGAUUAUGCUGAUUUUAAUUACCAGUCAGAACAUUAAAACCCGGAUUGCU
Molecule: long non-coding RNA, 899 nt
Organism: Onychostruthus taczanowskii (white-rumped snowfinch)
Lineage: Eukaryota; Metazoa; Chordata; Aves; Passeriformes; Passeridae
Exons: 5
Source: RefSeq, a predicted model, not a curated record